Molecule: unclassified non-coding RNA, 83 nt
Filed under: Pseudomonas migulae
Lineage: Bacteria; Pseudomonadati; Pseudomonadota; Gammaproteobacteria; Pseudomonadales; Pseudomonadaceae
Source: RNAcentral
UGCUGCGGGCGGCGUUCCGACGAUGGUGUGUCAGCCGCAUUUGUGUCGACUGACACACCAUCGUCGGAACGCCGCCCGCAGCA